ACGCUGGCGGCGUGCCUAAUACAUGCAAGUAGAACGCUGAAGAGAGGAGCUUGCUCUUCUUGGAUGAGUUGCGAACGGGUGAGUAACGCGUAGGUAACCUGCCUUGUAGCGGGGGAUAACUAUUGGAAACGAUAGCUAAUACCGCAUAACAAUGGAUGACACAUGUCAUUUAUUUGAAAGGGGCAAUUGCUCCACUACAAGAUGGACCUGCGUUGUAUUAGCUAGUAGGUGAGGUAAUGGCUCACCUAGGCGACGAUACAUAGCCGACCUGAGAGGGUGAUCGGCCACACUGGGACUGAGACACGGCCCAGACUCCUACGGGAGGCAGCAGUAGGGAAUCUUCGGCAAUGGGGGCAACCCUGACCGAGCAACGCCGCGUGAGUGAAGAAGGUUUUCGGAUCGUAAAGCUCUGUUGUAAGUCAAGAACGGGUGUGAGAGUGGAAAGUUCACACUGUGACGGUAGCUUACCAGAAAGGGACGGCUAACUACGUGCCAGCAGCCGCGGUAAUACGUAGGUCCCGAGCGUUGUCCGGAUUUAUUGGGCGUAAAGCGAGCGCAGGCGGUUUGAUAAGUCUGAAGUUAAAGGCUGUGGCUCAACCAUAGUUCGCUUUGGAAACUGUCAAACUUGAGUGCAGAAGGGGAGAGUGGAAUUCCAUGUGUAGCGGUGAAAUGCGUAGAUAUAUGGAGGAACACCGGUGGCGAAAGCGGCUCUCUGGUCUGUAACUGACGCUGAGGCUCGAAAGCGUGGGGAGCGAACAGGAUUAGAUACCCUGGUAGUCCACGCCGUAAACGAUGAGUGCUAGGUGUUGGAUCCUUUCCGGGAUUCAGUGCCGCAGCUAACGCAUUAAGCACUCCGCCUGGGGAGUACGACCGCAAGGUUGAAACUCAAAGGAAUUGACGGGGGCCCGCACAAGCGGUGGAGCAUGUGGUUUAAUUCGAAGCAACGCGAAGAACCUUACCAGGUCUUGACAUCCCGAUGCUAUUUCUAGAGAUAGAAAGUUACUUCGGUACAUCGGUGACAGGUGGUGCAUGGUUGUCGUCAGCUCGUGUCGUGAGAUGUUGGGUUAAGUCCCGCAACGAGCGCAACCCCUAUUGUUAGUUGCCAUCAUUCAGUUGGGCACUCUAGCGAGACUGCCGGUAAUAAACCGGAGGAAGGUGGGGAUGACGUCAAAUCAUCAUGCCCCUUAUGACCUGGGCUACACACGUGCUACAAUGGUUGGUACAACGAGUUGCGAGUCGGUGACGGCGAGCUAAUCUCUUAAAGCCAAUCUCAGUUCGGAUUGUAGGCUGCAACUCGCCUACAUGAAGUCGGAAUCGCUAGUAAUCGCGGAUCAGCACGCCGCGGUGAAUACGUUCCCGGGCCUUGUACACACCGCCCGUCACACCACGAGAGUUUGUAACACCCGAAGUCGGUGAGGUAACCUUUUGGAGCCAGCCGCCUAAGGUGGGAC
RNAcentral lists this ribosomal RNA (1451 nucleotides) under Streptococcus thermophilus. RNAcentral's name for it is "16S ribosomal RNA". It matches the Rfam family "Bacterial small subunit ribosomal RNA". The record is from RNAcentral. Lineage: Bacteria; Bacillati; Bacillota; Bacilli; Lactobacillales; Streptococcaceae.